This 492-nucleotide ribosomal RNA is filed under the name uncultured bacterium. RNAcentral's name for it is "partial 16S ribosomal RNA". It matches the Rfam family "Bacterial small subunit ribosomal RNA", at positions 29 to 507 of the family's 1533-position model. The record is from RNAcentral.
AGUGAACGCUGGCGGUAGGCCUAACACAUGCAAGUCGAACGGCAGCACAGUAAGAGCUUGCUCUUACGGGUGGCGAGUGGCGGACGGGUGAGGAAUGCAUCGGAAUCUACUUUUUCGUGGGGGAUAACGUAGGGAAACUUACGCUAAUACCGCAUACGACCUACGGGUGAAAGCAGGGGAUCUUCGGACCUUGCGCGAUUGAAUGAGCCGAUGUCGGAUUAGCUAGUUGGCGGGGUAAAGGCCCACCAAGGCGACGAUCCGUAGCUGGUCUGAGAGGAUGAUCAGCCACACUGGAACUGAGACACGGUCCAGACUCCUACGGGAGGCAGCAGUGGGGAAUAUUGGACAAUGGGCGCAAGCCUGAUCCAGCCAUACCGCGUGGGUGAGGAAGGCCUUCGGGUUGUAAAGCCCUUUUGUUGGGAAAGAAAAGCAGCAGGUUAAUACCCCGCUGUUCUGACGGUACCCAAAGAAUAAGCACCGGCUAACUUCGUG